RNAcentral lists this ribosomal RNA (490 nucleotides) under uncultured bacterium. Its description in RNAcentral is "partial 16S ribosomal RNA". It matches the Rfam family "Bacterial small subunit ribosomal RNA", at positions 30 to 507 of the family's 1533-position model. The record is from RNAcentral.
AUUGAACGCUGGCGGCAGGCCUAACACAUGCAAGUCGAAUGGUAACAGGAAACAGCUUGCUGUUUCGCUGACGAGUGGCGGACGGGUGAGUAAUGUCUGGGAAACUGCCUGAUGGAGGGGGAUAACUACUGGAAACGGUAGCUAAUACCGCAUAACGUCGCAAGACCAAAGAGGGGGACCUUCGGGCCUCUUGCCAUCAGAUGUGCCCAGAUGGGAUUAGCUAGUAGGUGGGGUAACGGCUCACCUAGGCGACGAUCCCUAGCUGGUCUGAGAGGAUAACCAGCCACACUGGAACUGAGACACGGUCCAGACUCCUACGGGAGGCAGCAGUGGGGAAUAUUGCACAAUGGGCGCAAGCCUGAUGCAGCCAUGCCGCGUGUAUGAAGAAGGCCUUCGGGUUGUAAAGUACUUUCAGCGGGGAGGAAGGGAGUAAAGUUAAUACCUUUGCUCAUUGACGUUACCCGCAGAAGAAGCACCGGCUAACUCCGUG